RNAcentral lists this ribosomal RNA (2641 nucleotides) under Escherichia coli. RNAcentral's name for it is "bacterial LSU rRNA". It matches the Rfam family "Bacterial large subunit ribosomal RNA". The record is from RNAcentral. Lineage: Bacteria; Pseudomonadati; Pseudomonadota; Gammaproteobacteria; Enterobacterales; Enterobacteriaceae.
ACUAUCAUUAACUGAAUCCAUAGGUUAAUGAGGCGAACCGGGGGAACUGAAACAUCUAAGUACCCCGAGGAAAAGAAAUCAACCGAGAUUCCCCCAGUAGCGGCGAGCGAACGGGGAGGAGCCCAGAGCCUGAAUCAGUGUGUGUGUUAGUGGAAGCGUCUGGAAAGGCGCGCGAUACAGGGUGACAGCCCCGUACACAAAAAUGCACAUGCUGUGAGCUCGAUGAGUAGGGCGGGACACGUGGUAUCCUGUCUGAAUAUGGGGGGACCAUCCUCCAAGGCUAAAUACUCCUGACUGACCGAUAGUGAACCAGUACCGUGAGGGAAAGGCGAAAAGAACCCCGGCGAGGGGAGUGAAAAAGAACCUGAAACCGUGUACGUACAAGCAGUGGGAGCCUCUUAAUGGGGUGACUGCGUACCUUUUGUAUAAUGGGUCAGCGACUUAUAUUCUGUAGCAAGGUUAACCGAAUAGGGGAGCCGAAGGGAAACCGAGUCUUAACUGGGCGUUAAGUUGCAGGGUAUAGACCCGAAACCCGGUGAUCUAGCCAUGGGCAGGUUGAAGGUUGGGUAACACUAACUGGAGGACCGAACCGACUAAUGUUGAAAAAUUAGCGGAUGACUUGUGGCUGGGGGUGAAAGGCCAAUCAAACCGGGAGAUAGCUGGUUCUCCCCGAAAGCUAUUUAGGUAGCGCCUCGUGAAUUCAUCUCCGGGGGUAGAGCACUGUUUCGGCAAGGGGGUCAUCCCGACUUACCAACCCGAUGCAAACUGCGAAUACCGGAGAAUGUUAUCACGGGAGACACACGGCGGGUGCUAACGUCCGUCGUGAAGAGGGAAACAACCCAGACCGCCAGCUAAGGUCCCAAAGUCAUGGUUAAGUGGGAAACGAUGUGGGAAGGCCCAGACAGCCAGGAUGUUGGCUUAGAAGCAGCCAUCAUUUAAAGAAAGCGUAAUAGCUCACUGGUCGAGUCGGCCUGCGCGGAAGAUGUAACGGGGCUAAACCAUGCACCGAAGCUGCGGCAGCGACACUAUGUGUUGUUGGGUAGGGGAGCGUUCUGUAAGCCUGUGAAGGUGGCCUGUGAGGGUUGCUGGAGGUAUCAGAAGUGCGAAUGCUGACAUAAGUAACGAUAAAGCGGGUGAAAAGCCCGCUCGCCGGAAGACCAAGGGUUCCUGUCCAACGUUAAUCGGGGCAGGGUGAGUCGACCCCUAAGGCGAGGCCGAAAGGCGUAGUCGAUGGGAAACAGGUUAAUAUUCCUGUACUUGGUGUUACUGCGAAGGGGGGACGGAGAAGGCUAUGUUGGCCGGGCGACGGUUGUCCCGGUUUAAGCGUGUAGGCUGGUUUUCCAGGCAAAUCCGGAAAACCAAGGCUGAGGCGUGAUGACGAGGCACUACGGUGCUGAAGUGACAAAUGCCCUGCUUCCAGGAAAAGCCUCUAAGCAUCAGGUAACAUCAAAUCGUACCCCAAACCGACACAGGUGGUCAGGUAGAGAAUACCAAGGCGCUUGAGAGAACUCGGGUGAAGGAACUAGGCAAAAUGGUGCCGUAACUUCGGGAGAAGGCACGCUGAUAUGUAGGUGAAGCGACUUGCUCGUGGAGCUGAAAUCAGUCGAAGAUACCAGCUGGCUGCAACUGUUUAUUAAAAACACAGCACUGUGCAAACACGAAAGUGGACGUAUACGGUGUGACGCCUGCCCGGUGCCGGAAGGUUAAUUGAUGGGGUUAGCGGUAACGCGAAGCUCUUGAUCGAAGCCCCGGUAAACGGCGGCCGUAACUAUAACGGUCCUAAGGUAGCGAAAUUCCUUGUCGGGUAAGUUCCGACCUGCACGAAUGGCGUAAUGAUGGCCAGGCUGUCUCCACCCGAGACUCAGUGAAAUUGAACUCGCUGUGAAGAUGCAGUGUACCCGCGGCAAGACGGAAAGACCCCGUGAACCUUUACUAUAGCUUGACACUGAACAUUGAGCCUUGAUGUGUAGGAUAGGUGGGAGGCUUUGAAGUGUGGACGCCAGUCUGCAUGGAGCCGACCUUGAAAUACCACCCUUUAAUGUUUGAUGUUCUAACGUUGGCCCCUAAUCGGGGUUGCGGACAGUGUCUGGUGGGUAGUUUGACUGGGGCGGUCUCCUCCUAAAGAGUAACGGAGGAGCACGAAGGUUGGCUAAUCCUGGUCGGACAUCAGGAGGUUAGUGCAAUGGCAUAAGCCAGCUUGACUGCGAGCGUGACGGCGCGAGCAGGUGCGAAAGCAGGUCAUAGUGAUCCGGUGGUUCUGAAUGGAAGGGCCAUCGCUCAACGGAUAAAAGGUACUCCGGGGAUAACAGGCUGAUACCGCCCAAGAGUUCAUAUCGACGGCGGUGUUUGGCACCUCGAUGUCGGCUCAUCACAUCCUGGGGCUGAAGUAGGUCCCAAGGGUAUGGCUGUUCGCCAUUUAAAGUGGUACGCGAGCUGGGUUUAGAACGUCGUGAGACAGUUCGGUCCCUAUCUGCCGUGGGCGCUGGAGAACUGAGGGGGGCUGCUCCUAGUACGAGAGGACCGGAGUGGACGCAUCACUGGUGUUCGGGUUGUCAUGCCAAUGGCACUGCCCGGUAGCUAAAUGCGGAAGAGAUAAGUGCUGAAAGCAUCUAAGCACGAAACUUGCCCCGAGAUGAGUUCU